ACCAGGAUGGCCGAGUCCGUUGGACUUAAGAUCCAAUGGACGCAUGUCCUCGUGGGUUCGAACCCCACUCCUGGUA
This is a non-coding RNA of Dallia pectoralis (Alaska blackfish), 76 nucleotides long. The record is from the annotation of a GenBank genome assembly. NCBI's taxonomy places the organism in Eukaryota, Metazoa, Chordata, Actinopteri, Esociformes, Umbridae.